AACGAACGCUGGCGGCAUGCCUAACACAUGCAAGUCGAACGAGACCUUCGGGUCUAGUGGCACACGGGUGCGUAACGCGUGGGAACCUGCCCUUAGGUUCGGAAUAACUCCCCGAAAGGGGUGCUAAUACCGGAUAAUGUCUUCGGACCAAAGAUUUAUCGCCUUUGGAUGGGCCCGCGUUGGAUUAGCUAGUUGGUAGGGUAAAAGCCUACCAAGGCGACGAUCCAUAGCUGGUCUGAGAGGAUGAUCAGCCACACUGGGACUGAGACACGGCCCAGACUUCUACGGGAGGCAGCAGUGGGGAAUAUUGGACAAUGGGCGAAAGCCUGAUCCAGCAAUGCCGUGUGAGUGAUGAAGGCCUGAGGGUUGUAAAGCUCUUUUACCCGGGAUGAUAAUGACGGUACCGGGAGAAUAAGCACCGGCUAACUCCGUG
This 433-nucleotide ribosomal RNA is filed under the name uncultured bacterium. Its description in RNAcentral is "partial 16S ribosomal RNA". It matches the Rfam family "Bacterial small subunit ribosomal RNA", at positions 29 to 507 of the family's 1533-position model. The record is from RNAcentral.